GACGUCAUUAUUGUUAAUAUUCAGUUUGAAAUUUAAAUAGUCAAAAUUUAUGUUUAAAAGUUUAGUCACAAUAAUGGAACACCUACUACAUAUUAGAACUGACACUAUUAUUCUGAAAAUAAAGGUUGAGGUGAAAUUUUUGAAGUAACCAAAUCGGAUGAAAUAAUGAAAAUAUCACAGCAAAUAAUCUCAGUAGGGAAACUCCAAAUGAGGUAUUAACAUUAGGUCAGCAAGAAGUGUCAACAGGUCAUACCUCAUUGAAACCUUAUCCUAAAACAUCAAAAGAUAUUUCAUCAAAAUGCACAUGGGGCGAAUUCGGAAAGUCAGCACUGUUUAAUGCGCUGGUCAGCGCUGAACCAGCAGAAUGUCGUU
Molecule: long non-coding RNA, 372 nt
Organism: Harmonia axyridis
Lineage: Eukaryota; Metazoa; Arthropoda; Insecta; Coleoptera; Coccinellidae
Exons: 2
Source: RefSeq, a predicted model, not a curated record